CACGCGGCCGCCGGACGUCGUGACCUCGCGGAUGCCCGGCGGUCGCCGUGACAACCUGAGGAGAGGCAACAGUGGCCGGGGCGAGGAGCGGUUGAGGCUGGCGGCCGCGAAAGGCCGCCUCCGCCCGGCCAAGCUCUCGGUGGGCAGUCAGGCCUCCGCUGUUGGCUCGGGCCGGCCCCCGCGCAGGGACUAUGAGAAAAUGGUCGUGCAGACGAGGAACAAGCACAAGGAGCUGCCGUCCAAGGGGGUCCAGUCCCCUCGCGGCCCUCUCCGGGGCCGCCGGGGCCCGGACCACAGAGAGCGGGGGCCCCUGACGGAGGAGAGGGGCGCCAAAGCGUCACGGCCCUCGACGCCCGGGCCCACGCACCUGUCGGGGAGCAGCGGCGGCGGCCACCACAAGGGGGCCCGCGUGUCUCCUCUGCGCCGGCUGCUGAUGGCCAGCGUGCGGCGCCUGCUGUGCCUGGUGCUGGAGAAGCUGCCGAUGCUGCAGCACUACCAGAGCUACUCGUGGAACCUGACGCUGGCCCUAGGUGCCUUUGUGGGAAUUUUACACUGGGCUCAUUUAACAACUCUUUUUGAAAAUGAUCGCCAUUUUUCCCACCUCUCAACCUUGGAAAGGGAGAUGACUUUUCGCACUGAAAUGGGACUUUACUAUUCCUACUUCAAGACCAUGAUAGAAGCACCUUCAUUUUUGAGAGGACUAUGGAUGACUAUGAAUGAUAGACUUACUGAAUUUCCUCUUGUAAUUAAUGCAGUGAAACGUUUUCAUCUUUAUCCAGAGGUAAUCCUAGCCUUCUGGUACCGCCUGUACACUGGAACAAUGGACCUCAUUGGCAUUCAAACAAAGGUGUGCUGGAAUGUUUCCAGAGGACAAGGGCUUAAUCCAGUCGAAAGCUGUGAAGGACUGGGAGAUCCUGCUUGCUUUUAUAUUACUGUGAUUUUUGUUUUAAAUGGACUAAUGAUGACAUUAUUCUUCAUAUAUGGCACAUACCUAAGUGGGAGUCAAGUUGGAGGUCUAAUUACAGUACUGUGCUAUUUUUUCAACCAUGGAGAGUCUACACGUGUGAUGUGGACUCCACCUCUCCGAGAAAGUUUCUCUUACCCAUUUCAUGUACUUCAGAUGCUGAUUAUAACUCAUGUUCUCAGGUCUCGACAGAAUUGUAAGAAAGACUUUAUUGCACUCAUUGUGUCUAAUGUCGCUUUCAUGCUUCCUUGGCAGUUUGCUCAGUUUAUUCUUUUUACACAGAUGGCUUCAUUAUUUCCUAUGUAUGUUGUGGGGUAUAUUGAGCCAUACAAAUUUCUGAAGAUCAUUGCUGUGAAUAUGGUUUCUAUUGCAAUCUGUUUUAUUUUAAUGUUUGGAAAUCGCACAUAUUUGUCAUCUUAUUUUGCCUCCUCUUUGAUAAUAACAUGGGCUAUCAUGAAAAAAAGAAAUAAAAUCCAAAAAUUGCAGUCAUCUGAGUGUACUUUUUGGAUAAUUCAGUGUUUUCUUUGGUGGAGUGGAACAAUCAUUUUGAAAGUGACAUUAUCUCAACUCUUUGCCGUUUCAGAUCAUAUUCAACUUAGUGACCUCAUAACUGCCAGAAUUUUAAGAUACACAGACUUUGAUACUUUAAUGUAUACUUGUGCUCCUGAAUUUGACUUUAUGGAAAAAGAGACUCCACUGAGGUACACAAAGACAUUAUUGCUUCCAGUUGUUGCUUUGAUUUCUUAUUUAAUCUUUAGAAAGGUGAUUCCUGAUAUUUUAUAUAUGUUAUCUACAGGGGAAACUUUUAGCAGAAAACAACUUCAGCAGGAUGAGUCAAAGAAUCCACCCACAAUUCUGCUUGUUUUUCAUGAAUUGCAGCUAUUUGCGUUUGCCAUUCUUGCCGUUUUCAUUAUGAGACUGAAGUUAUUUUUGACACCUCACAUGAGCGUUAUGGCUUCCUUGAUCUGCUCUAAACGGCUCUUUGGACGGUUCUUUGACAGAAUUCGUUUUGGGAAUUUUGUUUUAGCCCUUCUAAUGGUAAUGUCAAUUCAAGGUUGGUUAAACCUUCAGAGCCAAUGGAGCAUAAUAGGAGAAUUCAGUAAUGCACCACAGGAGGAGCUUCUUCAGUGGAUCAGGCAGAACACCAGGCCAGAUGCUGUUUUUGCAGGUGCCAUGCCUACUAUGGCAAGUGUCAAGCUAUCUACACUUCGCCCUAUUGUCAAUCACCCACAUUAUGAGGAUGGAGGAUUGAGGCCUGGUUGCAGUAUGCUUGAAAUCUGGGAUGUGGAAGACCCUAUGAAUGCUGCCAAGCCUUCUCUGUGCAGUAUCCUCGUUAAGGAUGGUCGACCUUACUUCACCUCCAUGUUCCAAAACAGCAUGUACAGAGUCUUCAAAGUGAACUAGGAGUGCGUGGCUUCAUCAGGUGCACAAUGGGUGGAGGGUCCAAAAUGAUCGUUGGUCUGUUCCCUGACAGUAGUAUUGUUCCAAAGAAAAUCAUAAGAUGUUAUUGGAAGUGUCUUUAAGGGAAAAAAAAAAAAAACAUUUUUAUUCAAUCAUUUAAUUCAUUCUGAUUAAAAGUAAAAUAUUCAUUUUUCACAUUGCAGAGUCAGCCUUUGUUAGGUAAAAACUAAUUUGUGGCAAAAACUUGUUAUGCGAGUGGUGGUUAUGUGUUCACGUGCUACUUUAACAAACAUUCAUCUUAAAAUUUUCAAGGAUGCCAAGAAGAAUAAAGACAAUAUAAAUCUAAAAUGUAAGUUCUUUUUUGACCAAAUAAAUUACUUUGGAUUUUCUUAAAUAAAGAAUAAAGGUUUUUUUUGCUUCAUUACAGAUUCUAGGGAAUCGUACAACAUUACUGCACAAUGUUAUUUGACAUUUCCAUGUUGAUUAACUGCUGAUACUGAUCAUACGUGGGAUACCUCUGUGAGGAACUUAAUUUUUGUAACCACAUUUCUGUGAAGUUUGGUUUUCCUUUUUAAAGUAACCAAGAAGAAUCUUAAAAGAGAUUUGAAUAACUUUUUAUCUUUUUGGGUUAGUUUUUAAAACACUUUUAUUCAUACUAGAGUGAAUCUCUUUAAACAUCUGUAAAUAGUUAUCGAUGCUAAUUCGAAGAGUUUAUAGCCUAUAGUGGAAAACAUGCUUUUAAUUAGUGUUUUUUUCCCAUGAAUACCCAAGUAGACUUGAAACAUGACUAAAUUCAGUUGGGGAUAGGGAAGUACAAAUUAUCAGAAAAGGAAAAAAAGAGUCAACAGAAUUCAUUAAAUGAUCUUUUCUAUUUGCUUAAAUUUCUGGAUUUUGGACAUGGCAAAAGGGUGAUCAUUUUCCUAAGACUAUCUUGUUAUACAUCAUAUUUUUUUCUUUUUUAUUUCAUACUGUACAUUUGUAUUUGGUUUCCAAUGAAAACACAGUUUCUCUAAAUCUUUCCUUGCCUCCCCCAACAAAAACCAAAAAUGUCCUGUUUUAAGCUGCUUUUAGGCUUUUAAGUCAUAACAUUGUUACAUACUAAUUUUCUCUUUUUACUCCCUUCAGCUGCUUGUUAUGCACUGUCUGUAAUAUUUUGAUACAUAUAUCUCUUCUCAUUCUUGUUUAUUUUUCUGUUUUAAUAAUUAGUUACUGUUCUUGGCCCAAAAUAAUUUCAUAGAUGAAUUCAAUAUCAGAGCAGAAGAAUAAAGGAAAUAUCCUUUGAUAUUUAUUAAACUAGGUCAGAAGAACUUAAAAGGUAAAGAAAAAAUUUUGAGAUAUCAUUAAAAUUAGGAAAGAAUGAAAGGAUGUAUUUGUAAGCCUAACAACAUAAGAUGCUGUUUCUGUGUGAAAUUAUAUGAAAUUUGCUUUAGUUAUUUUAUGCUAUAUAUAUGGAAUAAAAAGAAAAUCUGAAGUUUUAAUGUUGUCCCCAUUCUUUUCCUUUCCCUUUGACUAAUGGGGCAGGGCUAUAAGGAAAUAUUCAGGGUGUGACAGGGUUGAGCAAGGAUUUUGAAGGAUGGGGAGACUUCAGCAUGUUUUAAGACCAUAGAAAAGGAAUCAGUUGAUAGGGAGAGAUUUGAGAUUGUAGGUGGGAGGCAAACUGUAGUUUAGUAUCAGCUUUUGUUCAUCAGCUAAAGGAAUUGAGAGAAGUUACUUUCCUACUGUAAUCUGUCUAUUGAUAUCUUAUGUAUUCUUUAGUGACUAAGUAAAAAGUCUCCUCUUCUAUGAAGAAUUUAGAGCAUUUUCUAAGUGGUAGAGGACCAGGAUUAUGGGAAUAUUGCACUCAUUGUUGGACACGAUUGAUGUGUUGAUUGGUUUUAAGGGGAUGGGAAUGAAUGAUUGCAGAUGCUGAAGGUGGGAGGGAUUAGGAGCCAGUGGCAUCUGUGGUGGAGUCCCCCUGGCAAGGAAAAGACUGAUUGUCAGAGACUGAUGAAGAUGCGAGAGAGUGCGACAUGAUCUUUAGAGAUCGAAUGACAAGAAGAGGGAGCCCGGAUUGAAUGAUCUCAAUUUUUUGUAAAGGUGAGAGAUGUCUUAAGGGGACUGCAAAAGCUCAGGAAGCAAGCCACCAGACACCAGGAUAUGGAUCCCCCACUGGGACAUGGAGAAGCCGGGUCCCAAGGCACCUGUUGCCCCAGCCUAGGACCAGAUGGGACCUCACUCAGCCAGCAGCCAUGUAGCACUGGCGUGUCCUGUUGGUGGAAAACUUAGAAAAUGCAUUAAGGAAAGUCCAUUAUUUCCUGGACUUUAUUUAGUGUAAGAGUGGCAUAAUGUUAAUAAUCAUUUUGAAGUGAGGAGAAACACCCAAAGUAUAAAACUUUUAUUGAAAAGUUUGAAGUGUUUAUUUGCAAAUUGUGAGUGCCAUCUGCUGGUCACCUCACAUGAAGACAUUUUCUACUGUAGAACUCUUACAAACGGGCAAUAAGGGCUGACGUUUUGCACCUAUUCAAUAAAUAACUAACUGUAAAUCUAGAGCUCUAGGGAAGGCGACUGAAUAUUUUAUGGGACACUCAAGUUUGUCCUGGUGAUGAAAAUAAUUUGAGUUCAGAAACGUGGAGUUGUGAUUGGUAGGUGAUGAUGUUUUUGAUCCGGUGUAGACAGUAAAGUACAAAGCAGUAAAUCACUUCCUGUGUAGCUGCAGUCUGAAUUACCCUGAAAAAUGAGGCAAUACUUAAAAAAAAGCUUUUUGCAUGCACACUAGUAGCAUUGCUCGGUUAGUGUUGAUUCUCUGACAUCGGCUGUAGAAAUAGAUGCCUGUUGAGUUGUACUUGAUUCUUUGACUCAUAAGCUUGAGAGCUGCGGUGAGCCUCUGAGAUCCCUUUUUACAGGGAAAGGAAAAUGAGCAAGACCCAGAGAAGUGAAGCAUCUUAGUUAAGGACACACAAUACG
Sarcophilus harrisii (Tasmanian devil) is the source of this 5308-nucleotide RNA transcript. It is a transcript of the gene named probable C-mannosyltransferase DPY19L1, with no coding region annotated. Lineage: Eukaryota; Metazoa; Chordata; Mammalia; Dasyuromorphia; Dasyuridae. The transcript has 22 exons. The record is from RefSeq and is a predicted model, not a curated record.